CCUACGGGAGACAGCAGUGAGGAAUAUUGGUCAAUGGGCGGGAGCCUGAACCAGCCAAGUCGCGUGAGGGAAGACGGUCCUAUGGAUUGUAAACCUCUUUAGGCGGGGAGCAAUGCCGGGCACGUGUGCCCGGAGGGAGAGUACCCGCCGAAUAAGCAUCGGCUAACUCCGUGCCAGCAGCCGCGGUAAUACGGAGGAUGCGAGCGGUAUCCGGAUUUAUUGGGUUUAAAGGGUAGGUUGGCGGAUUUUUAAGUCAGCGGUAAAAUGUCCGGGCUCAACCCGGGCCGGCCGUUGAAAGUGGGGAUCUUGAGUGGGCGAGAGGAAUGCGGAAUGCGUGGUGUAGCGGUGAAAUGCGUAGAUAUCACGAAGAACUCCGAUUGCGAAGGCAGCAUACCGGCGUCCGACUGACGCUGAGGCACGAAAGCGUGGGGAUCGAACAGGAUUAGAUACCCCUGUAGUC
RNAcentral lists this ribosomal RNA (460 nucleotides) under uncultured bacterium. RNAcentral describes it as "partial 16S ribosomal RNA". It matches the Rfam family "Bacterial small subunit ribosomal RNA", at positions 338 to 795 of the family's 1533-position model. The record is from RNAcentral.